RNAcentral lists this ribosomal RNA (517 nucleotides) under uncultured bacterium. Its description in RNAcentral is "partial 16S ribosomal RNA". It matches the Rfam family "Bacterial small subunit ribosomal RNA", at positions 29 to 523 of the family's 1533-position model. The record is from RNAcentral.
AACGAACGCUGGCGGCGUGGAUAAGACAUGCAAGUCGAACGGGAUUUUUUUCUGUAGCAAUACAGAAAAAAGUCUAGUGGCGAACGGGUGCGUAACACGUGAGCAACCUGCCGUGAAGUGGGGGAUAGCUCGCCGAAAGGCGAAUUAAUACCGCAUGUGGCCAAGGAAGACAUCUUCCUGACGCCAAAGCCGGGGCAACCUGGCGCUUCUCGAGGGGCUCGCGGCCUAUCAGCUUGUUGGUGAGGUAACGGCUCACCAAGGCUAUGACGGGUAGCUGGUCUGAGAGGACGACCAGCCACACUGGAACUGAGACACGGUCCAGACACCUACGGGUGGCAGCAGUCGAGAAUUUUUCACAAUGGGGGAAACCCUGAUGGAGCGACGCCGCGUGGAGGAUGAAGGUUUUCGGAUUGUAAACUCCUGUCAUUAGAGAACAAGGCACACAGUUUAACUGGCCGUGUGUUGAUAGUAUCUGAAGAGGAAGAGACGGCUAACUCUGUGCCAGCCGCCGCGGUAA